UACGGAGGGUGCAAGCGUUGUUCGGAAUUAUUGGGCGUAAAGCGCGUGUAGGCGGUUUUUUAAGUCUGACGUGAAAUCCCGGAGCUUAACUCCGGAACUGCGUUGGAUACUGCCGGGCUUGAGUGUGGGAGAGGAGAGUGGAAUUCCCAGUGUAGAGGUGAAAUUCGUAGAUAUUGGGAGGAACACCCGUGGCGAAGGCGGCUCUCUGGACCACAACUGACGCUGAGGCGCGAAAGCUAGGGUAGCAAACGGGAUUAGAAACCCCUGUAGU
Molecule: ribosomal RNA, 271 nt
Filed under: uncultured bacterium
Lineage: Bacteria
Description: partial 16S ribosomal RNA
Rfam family: Bacterial small subunit ribosomal RNA
Source: RNAcentral